RNAcentral lists this ribosomal RNA (389 nucleotides) under uncultured bacterium. RNAcentral's name for it is "bacterial SSU rRNA". It matches the Rfam family "Bacterial small subunit ribosomal RNA", at positions 29 to 417 of the family's 1533-position model. The record is from RNAcentral.
AUUGAACGCUGGCGGCAUGCCUUACACAUGCAAGUCGAACGGCAGCACGGGAGCUUGCUCCUGGUGGCGAGUGGCGAACGGGUGAGUAAUGCAUCGGAACGUGCCCAGUAGUGGGGGAUAGCCCGGCGAAAGCCGGAUUAAUACCGCAUACGACCUACGGGUGAAAGCAGGGGAUCGCAAGACCUUGCGCUAUUGGAGCGGCCGAUGUCAGAUUAGGUAGUUGGUGGGGUAAAAGCCUACCAAGCCGACGAUCUGUAGCUGGUCUGAGAGGACGACCAGCCACACUGGGACUGAGACACGGCCCAGACUCCUACGGGAGGCAGCAGUGGGGAAUUUUGGACAAUGGGCGCAAGCCUGAUCCAGCCAUGCCGCGUGCGGGAAGAAGGCCU